RNAcentral lists this ribosomal RNA (253 nucleotides) under uncultured bacterium. RNAcentral describes it as "partial 16S ribosomal RNA". It matches the Rfam family "Bacterial small subunit ribosomal RNA", at positions 524 to 776 of the family's 1533-position model. The record is from RNAcentral.
UACGGAGGGUGCAAGCGUUAUCCGGAUUCACUGGGUUUAAAGGGUGUGUAGGCGGGCUUGUGAGUCAGGGGUGAAAUCCUACAGCUUAACUGUAGAACUGCCUUUGAUACUAUAAGUCUUGAAUAUUGUUGAGGUAGGCGGAAUACAUCAUGUAGCGGUGAAAUGCUUAGAUAUGAUGUAGAACACCGAUUGCGAAGGCAGCUUACUAAGCAAAUAUUGACGCUGAGGCACGAAAGCGUGGGGAUCAAACAGG